UCGAACGGCAGCGCGGGGCAACCUGGCGGCGAGUGGCGAACGGGUGAGUAAUACAUCGGAACGUGCCCUGUGAUGGGGGAUAACUACGCGAAAGCGUAGCUAAUACCGCAUACGACCCAAGGGUGAAAGUGGGGGAUCGCAAGACCUCACGUCAUAGGAGCGGCCGAUGGCGGAUUAGCUAGUUGGUGAGGUAAAGGCUUACCAAGGCGACGAUCCGUAGCUGGUCUGAGAGGACGACCAGCCACACUGGGACUGAGACACGGCCCAGACUCCUACGGGAGGCAGCAGUGGGGAAUCUUGGACAAUGGGGGCAACCCUGAUCCAGCAAUGCCGCGUGUGGGAUGAAGGCCUUCGGGUUGUAAACCACUUUUGGCGGGGGCGAAAUGUCGAGUGCUAAUACCAUUCGGUGAUGACGGUACCCGCAGAAUAAGCACCGGCUAACUACGUGCCAGCAGCCGCGGUAAUACGUAGGGUGCAAGCGUUAAUCGGAAUUACUGGGCGUAAAGCGUGCGCAGGCGGUUAAGUAAGACAGAUGUGAAAUUCCCGGGCUCAACCUGGGAACUGCAUUUGUGACUGCUUGACUAGAGUGCGGCAGAGGGGAGUGGAAUUCCGCGUGUAGCAGUGAAAUGCGUAGAUAUGCGGAGGAACACCGAUGGCGAAGGCAACUCCCUGGACCUGCACUGACGCUCAUGCACGAAAGCGUGUGGAGCAAACAGGAUUAGAUACCCUGGUAGUCACG
This 739-nucleotide ribosomal RNA is filed under the name Thiomonas sp. Dg-E16. RNAcentral describes it as "bacterial SSU rRNA". It matches the Rfam family "Bacterial small subunit ribosomal RNA", at positions 62 to 799 of the family's 1533-position model. The record is from RNAcentral. Lineage: Bacteria; Pseudomonadati; Pseudomonadota; Betaproteobacteria; Burkholderiales.